UUGGACAAAUACCGAAGGAGAUGUGU
RNAcentral lists this non-coding RNA (26 nucleotides) under Homo sapiens (human). The record is from RNAcentral. Lineage: Eukaryota; Metazoa; Chordata; Mammalia; Primates; Hominidae.